This 393-nucleotide ribosomal RNA is filed under the name uncultured bacterium. Its description in RNAcentral is "bacterial SSU rRNA". It matches the Rfam family "Bacterial small subunit ribosomal RNA", at positions 505 to 898 of the family's 1533-position model. The record is from RNAcentral.
GUGUCAGCCGCCGCGGUAAUACGAAGGGGGCUAGCGUUGCUCGGAAUCACUGGGCGUAAAGGGCGCGUAGGCGGCUGAUUUAGUCGAGGGUGAAAGCCCGUGGCUCAACCACGGAAUGGCCUUCGAUACUGAUUGGCUUGAGACCGGAAGAGGACAGCGGAACUGCGAGUGUAGAGGUGAAAUUCGUAGAUAUUCGCAAGAACACCAGUGGCGAAGGCGGCUGUCUGGUCCGGUUCUGACGCUGAGGCGCGAAAGCGUGGGGAGCAAACAGGAUUAGAUACCCUGGUAGUCCACGCUGUAAACGAUGAAUGCUAGCCGUUGGGGUGCAUGCACCUCAGUGGCGCCGCUAACGCUUUAAGCAUUCCGCCUGGGGAGUACGGUCGCAAGAUUAAA